This 279-nucleotide ribosomal RNA is filed under the name uncultured archaeon. Its description in RNAcentral is "partial 16S ribosomal RNA". It matches the Rfam family "Archaeal small subunit ribosomal RNA", at positions 1047 to 1325 of the family's 1478-position model. The record is from RNAcentral. RNAcentral also lists the same sequence under 1 other name.
GAGACCCACGCCAACAGUUGCCAGCUCGUCCUCCGGGAUGGUGGGGACACUGUUGGGACCGCCUCUGCUAAAGAGGAGGAAGGAAUGGGCAACGGUAGGUCAGCAUGCCCCGAAUUAUCCGGGCUACACGCGGGCUACAAUGGGUGGGACAAUGGGUAUCGACACCGAAAGGUGAAGGCAAUCUCCUAAACCCAUCCUUAGUUCGGAUUGUGGGCUGCAACUCGCCCACAUGAAGCUGGAAUCUGUAGUAAUCGUGUCUCAACAUGGCACGGUGAAUAU